RNAcentral lists this ribosomal RNA (442 nucleotides) under uncultured bacterium. RNAcentral's name for it is "partial 16S ribosomal RNA". It matches the Rfam family "Bacterial small subunit ribosomal RNA", at positions 338 to 795 of the family's 1533-position model. The record is from RNAcentral.
CCUACGGGAGGCAGCAGUAGGGAAUCUUUCACAAUGGGCGAAAGCCUGAUGGAGCAACGCCGCGUGCAGGAUGAAGGCCUUCGGGUUGUAAACUGCUUUUAUAAGCGAGAAAUAUGAUGGUAACUUAUGAAUAAGGAUCGGCUAACUACGUGCCAGCAGCCGCGGUCAUACGUAGGAUCCGAGCAUUAUCCGGAGUGACUGGGUGUAAAGAGUUGCGUAGGUGGCAUAAUAAGUAGCUAGUGAAAUCUGGUGGCUCAACCAUUCAGACGAUUAGCUAAACUGUUAAGCUCGAGACCGUUAGGGGUAACUGGAAUUUCGAGUGUAGGAGUGAAAUCCGUAGAUAUUAGAAGGAACACCAAUAGCGUAGGCAGGUUGCUGGGACGGUUCUGACACUAAGGCACGAAAGCGUAGGGAGCAAACGGGAUUAGAUACCCCUGUAGUC